GGAGUUAGCCGGUGCUUGCUAAGGAAGUACCGUCAGAUCUUCUUCCUUCCCCACAGUGCUUUACGACCCGAGGGCCUUCAUCACACACGCGGCAUGGCUGGAUCAGGCUUUCGCCCAUUGUCCAAUAUUCCCC
This 133-nucleotide ribosomal RNA is filed under the name uncultured bacterium. RNAcentral's name for it is "partial 16S ribosomal RNA". The record is from RNAcentral.